AGUGAACGCUGGCGGUAGGCCUAACACAUGCAAGUCGAACGGCAGCACAGUAAGAGCUUGCUCUUACGGGUGGCGAGUGGCGGACGGGUGAGGAAUACAUCGGAAUCUACUUUUUCGUGGGGGAUAACGUAGGGAAACUUACGCUAAUACCGCAUACGCCCUACGGGUGAAAGCAGGGGAUCUUCGGACCUUGCGCGAUUGAAUGAGCCGAUGUCGGAUUAGCUAGUUGGCGGGGUAAAGGCCCACCAAGGCGACGAUCCGUAGCUGGUCUGAGAGGAUGAUAAGCCACACUGGAGCUGAGACACGGUCCAGACUCCUACGAGAGGCAGCAGUGGGGAAUAGUGGACAAUGGGCGCAAGCAUGAUCCAGCCAUACCGCGUGGGUGAAGAAGGCCUUCGGGUUGUAAAGCCCUUUUGUUGGGAAAGAAAAGCAGCAGGUUAAUACCCCGCUGUUCUGACGGUACCCAAAGAAUAAGCACCGGCUAACUUCGUG
This 492-nucleotide ribosomal RNA is filed under the name uncultured bacterium. RNAcentral's name for it is "partial 16S ribosomal RNA". It matches the Rfam family "Bacterial small subunit ribosomal RNA", at positions 29 to 507 of the family's 1533-position model. The record is from RNAcentral.